UACAUUGUGUGUCAACUCCUGAAGUGUC
RNAcentral lists this non-coding RNA (28 nucleotides) under Mus musculus (house mouse). The record is from RNAcentral. Lineage: Eukaryota; Metazoa; Chordata; Mammalia; Rodentia; Muridae.